GACGAACGCUGGCGGCGUGCUUAACACAUGCAAGUCGAACGGAAGGGCCUCUUUCGGGGGGUACUCGAGUGGCGAACGGGUGAGUAACACGUGAGUAACCUGCCCUUGACUUUGGGAUAACUUCAGGAAACUGGGGCUAAUACCGGAUAGGAGCUCCUGCUGCAUGGUGGGGGUUGGAAAGUUUCGGCGGUUGGGGAUGGACUCGCGGCUUAUCAGCUUGUUGGUGGGGUAGUGGCUUACCAAGGCUUUGACGGGUAGCCGGCCUGAGAGGGUGACCGGCCACAGUGGGACUGAGAUACGGCCCAGACUCCGACGGGAGGCAGCAGUGGGGAAUAUUGCACAAUGGGUGGAAGCCUGAUGCAGCAACGCCGUGUGCGGGAUGACGGCCUUCGGGUUGUAAACCGCUUUCGCUCAUGACGAAGCUUUGUGUGACGGUAGUGGGUAAAGAAGCACCGGCUAACUACGUG
This 467-nucleotide ribosomal RNA is filed under the name uncultured bacterium. RNAcentral describes it as "partial 16S ribosomal RNA". It matches the Rfam family "Bacterial small subunit ribosomal RNA", at positions 28 to 507 of the family's 1533-position model. The record is from RNAcentral.